RNAcentral lists this ribosomal RNA (269 nucleotides) under uncultured prokaryote. RNAcentral describes it as "partial 16S ribosomal RNA". It matches the Rfam family "Bacterial small subunit ribosomal RNA", at positions 524 to 792 of the family's 1533-position model. The record is from RNAcentral.
UACGGAGGAUCCGAGCGUUAUCCGGAUUUAUUGGGCGUAAAGGGAGCGCAGGCGGUGACUUAAGUCUGAUGUGAAAGCCCACGGCUCAACCGUGGAAGGUCAUUGGAAACUGGGUCACUUGAAUAUAGAAGAGGUAAGCGGAACUGAUGGUGGAGCGGUGAAAUGCAUUGAUAUCAUCAGGAACACCGGUAGCGAAGGCGGCUUACUAGGUCUCUUCUGACGCUGAGGCACAAAAGCUAGGGGAGCGAACGGGAUUAGAUACCCGCGUA